AAAGUUGCCUGUAAGAGCACGCAAGAGCAAGUUAUGUUGUUGUAUGUAUUCUAUUCUACUCUAAAGUUGUUCGUAACUUUUUAAACAUAGCAAGAUCAAAGGCAGUCUAUUCACCCGACUAUAGUGGUAGGUGAGCUAUGUUUGUACUCACUCACAAACAUUGGGUCAUGGGAGCGCCCGCGUAACAUAUCGAGCGUCUACUGAAUAUGUAGGGUGACCAUGAGUUGUGAAAGCGAUGGGAUAUUGAAAGGCAAAUUUUAGUAUGGCAUUAUAUUUCUAUUUUAAGAUGACGAUAACGGAUUUUAUCUAAAAUGUUAAUGUAAAUUUUAACUAUAUGUAUUUAUAUUAGUAAAACUUAAGGGCUAAACAGUAUGAAACUGCAAUAAAAAAAAAUAUAGAUACAUAUUAUAAUUGAAUUAUUCAAAUAUUUAGCUUCUAACUUGAUCAAUAAAUGAAUUUGAUAGUACUCCCACGUAAACGAAUCAAUAUUGGAAAUAAAAAGGAUCUAAUAUUUUAUAAAAGUCCCAUAGAAGCAGCGUAUCAUGGUCACUAACUAGUUCCAAGUUUGGAUGCGCCGCCGACACGGUAGAGCGACUGAGAUCCUCCAUUGUCUUAACACAUCACUAGUGAUGGGAUGAACAGAUUCGACUUAUCGAAGGUAAUAAAAACAGAAUAUAUAUUUUUCCAUACAUAGCCGUUUUUAAUACAAAGCCACCAAAAGCUCUAAUCUAAUUACACGAACUUAUAUAUUUUUACUUUGGAAAAAUAAAAAUGAAUCUAGAUAAUGGAUAAUUGAAAAGAAAUCAUGUAACAAAAGGUUAACAAACCGAUCGGUGGCCGAACAAAAACUGAAAUAGUUAAAUUGCCGAAGCGUGAAGGUCAAAAACAAAGGCAGCUAUUUUUGACAUAACAAACGUUAUUACGACAAUUAUACGGCAUGGCAUUUUGUUUGAUUACAAGUCAAGGUCACUUGUAGUUUCCAAAUACUAUGUAAGUAUAAUUGGUUUAGGUCAAUGGCAUUAAGCCCAGCUUUCUUCAAUGUAAGCUCGUUAACGUAAAUUGAUAAAGUAUCUAAUCCAAUAAUCGAUUGCUUUAAUUUUACCUAUUGAAUUUAAUCGACUUAAGAUUAUUAUCGAUGCCUUUUAGUAUCUUGAUCAACCACCUACUUACUUAAACUAUGUAACUAGGUAUAUUUUGUAGACUUCUGACACUGCACAACAUAUGAGUAGGGCUAUACAUACGUGAAAUUACUUAUUACAGAACUCAUAAGAAAAGAUCCCGACGAAUUGAGAACCUCCUCCUUUUUGAAGUCGGUUAAAAGCUAUCGACAGAUACCCAUCACUAGCCGUGUCCCACAGAGCAUUUAUAUGGCAUUUUCAACUGGAUAACCGUUAUCCAUAGCUUGAUGCACUCUUAAUAGAGUAUCAACUAGGAGGUAACAAGGUCACUGUGUCUCAAGAUUUCGUUCAGAUUAAAGUUACGUAUUCGGCUAAAUGUAUUAUUUUAUUUUAAUACCGGUACCGGGGUGAUUAGAUGAAGAAAUAUAGUGUUUGUAAUAGAGAUCAUACUCCGAAUUUGGUUGCUAUUGCUACAAGAGGAAAUUACAAUAUGUGUUACUGUAAUGUAAUAUGGAAUAAUAAGUGAUUUAUCAUUUGUUUUGUAGGUCUGAUGUUUCGAUUUAUGUAGUUUUAUUAUUAGUACUAAAAAGUCAGUUAGGUUCUGGGUGUUUUAGAAUUAGUCAAAUAUGCUAUACCUACGUUCAUCAGUCAAAGUACGGAUAAACUAUACUUUUACAGGUAGAAUGUAGAUAUUUAAUGACGCGGGUUUCCUCGCAUGAUUUUCUUCACCAUAUCGAAGACUAUUUUUAAUAAGAUAUUUAUGAUAGUUUGUAAAGAAGAAAGCAACUAAGAAAAAAUAAGCCUAAGCCACUGAAACGAUCUGUUUCUAAAGAAAUGCAAUAAAAAAGUACUAAACAUUUUCUGAAUCGCUAUUAUAUUU
Non-coding RNA from Plutella xylostella (diamondback moth), 1998 nucleotides. NCBI's taxonomy places the organism in Eukaryota, Metazoa, Arthropoda, Insecta, Lepidoptera, Plutellidae. The record is from RefSeq and is a predicted model, not a curated record.